Molecule: ribosomal RNA, 328 nt
Filed under: uncultured eukaryote
Lineage: Eukaryota
Description: partial 18S ribosomal RNA
Rfam family: Eukaryotic small subunit ribosomal RNA
Source: RNAcentral
CCCUUAGAUGUCCGGGGCUGCACGCGCGCUACACUGAAGGAAUCAGCGUGCUAAAACCAUUGUCGAAAGGCAUUGGUAAACCCAUUAAAAUCCUACGUGAUUGGGAUCGGGAAUUGCAAUUAUUUCCCUUGAACGAGGAAUUCCCAGUAAGUGUGGGUCAUAAGCUCGCGUUGAUUACGUCCCUGCCCUUUGUACACACUGCCCGUCGCUGCCCGGGACUGAGCCGUUUCGAGAAAAGCGGGGACUGCUGCUGUCGGGGCUUUCGGGCCUUGGCUUCGGUGGAAACCGCUUUAAUCGCAGUGGCUUGAACCGGGCAAAAGUCGUAACA